Molecule: long non-coding RNA, 1368 nt
Filed under: Ficedula albicollis (Collared flycatcher)
Lineage: Eukaryota; Metazoa; Chordata; Aves; Passeriformes; Muscicapidae
Description: lncRNA (ENSFALG00000027797.1)
Source: RNAcentral
AUGGGCAUGAGGGAUAUCCCUGGGACGCACACAGAAGUGCUGAGGGGAUGUUCAGCUCCUGCAGCAGUGGCUCAGGCGGUGCCUAAGUCCAUGGGGAGCCUCAGGGGUGCCAAGCACUCCACACCAUCCCUGUACAGAGCCUGGCAUGACGGCACAGAGGCCUUGGCCCUGGCUUUGGGGCUGUCCCAACAGGCUCAGGGGAUGGUAGGAGCCCUCUCUGCGACGCGUUUCUGGUGGAAGUGCCAGACUCUUACUCCACAUUUGUCCCCACCGAGGUUACAGCAACCGCUGUGCCUGUGCAUGGCUCAGGAUCAGCCUCCUUCCCACGAGCCAGGGCCCUCUGAUGGACCAGAGCCCAGCACCCAGCUCUGUGCUCCCCUCAGGGAGCAUCACCACCUUGGAAAGCCAGAGCUGAAGCCGUCUGCCCGUGCUCCCCCUCAGUUAUUUCAUGCAGCAGCUGCAGAGCUGAGCCCCGUGCUGGAUUCACAGCCCUGUGUCACCCAGGCAGAGCAGCAGGGACAAACUCCUUCCUCCCCACGCUGGGGGCUGAUGGAGCAGAGGAUGAAGGUGCUCAGUGCUGGGUGUGCCCCGCCCCAGGGGCCCCAGUGCGGGCUGGAGGCCAUACAUGGACUCACGGGGCCAGGAGGGGCUGGGCUCAGUGACAGAGCUCCCACUCAGGCUCCCUGUGCCCCUGGAACCUGGGAAAUGCCCACGUGGAGCCAGCCCUGCAGCCCCAACCAGCACCCAGGGGGUGCCAUCCUGGGGACACUCAGGGGAUCCCAACCCUGGGGACACUCAGGGGAUCCCAUCCCUGGGGACACUCAGGGGCAUCCCAUCCCUGGGGACACUCAUGGGGUUCCCAUCUCUGGGCACACUCAUGCGCAUCACAUCCCUGGGGACACUCAGGGGGUUCCCAUCUCUGGAGCACACGCAGGGGAUCCCAUCCCUGGGGACUCUCAGCGGGUUCCAUCCCUGGGGACACUCAUGGGGUUCCCAUCUCUGGGGACACUCAGGGGUUCCCAUCCCUGGGGACACUCAGGGGGUCCCAUCCCUGGGGACACUCAGGGGGUCCCAACCCUGGGGGCACUCAGGGGGUCCCCUCUCUGGGGAGGGGGGGGGGGGGGGGGGGGGGGGGGGGGGGGGGGGGGGGGGGGGGGGGGGGGGGGGGGGGGGGGGGGGGGGGGGGGGGGGGGCCCCCCAGCCCUGCUGGACCCCCUCCCCACGGGCAGUGGGAUGCGUGUCCCCCCCUGCACCAUGCUGGAAGGAAGUGAGUUAUUCCAAACAACUUUCUCCGGCCGGGAUGGCCCCGGGUUCCCAGCUCUCCUCCCCCUCGCUUCCCCCAGCCCUCCUUCCCCCUCUCCGCCUUAA